Non-coding RNA from Callorhinus ursinus (northern fur seal), 655 nucleotides. The record is from RefSeq and is a predicted model, not a curated record. NCBI's taxonomy places the organism in Eukaryota, Metazoa, Chordata, Mammalia, Carnivora, Otariidae.
CAGUCGCUGGCAGUCAGGUGGGGAGCACCUGUGCGCCCCUCGGACCUGACCCUUUCAGCACUCUGCUCCCGCUCCAGCCUACCUCGCUCUUCAGCACCAUGACCACCACCACCACCUUCAAGGGAGUCGAUCCCAACAGCAGGAAUAGCUCCCGGGUUUUGGGGCCUCCAGGCGGUGGAUCCAAUUUUUCAUUAGGCUUUGAUGAACCAGCAGAACAGCCUGUGAGGAGACACAAAACGGCAUCUAGCAUCUUUGGGACACCUGAGGAAAAUCCUCCUUCAUGGGCCAAGUCAGCAGGUGCCAACUCUAGUGGUGGCAGAGAAGAUUCUGAGUCAUCUGGACCCCAGAGAAGGAACUCUUCUGAAGCAAAUGCUGGAGACUUCUUAGAUCUGAAGGGAGAAGGUGACAUUCAUGAAAACGUGGACACAGACUUGCAGGCCAGCCUGGGGCAGAGUGAGGAGAAGCCCGUGCCCGCUGCCCCUGUGCCCAGCCCAGUGGCUCCAGCCCCGGUGCCAUCCUGAAGAAACCCCCCUGGUGGCAAGUCCAGCCUCAUCCUGGGUUAGCUCCAAUUCUCUUGAACUCUGUCGUUUUGUUUGUUUGUUUUCUCCAUGCUUGUGAACUGCACAACUUGAGCCUGACUAUACAACUUUUGGAU